This 2543-nucleotide ribosomal RNA is filed under the name Staphylococcus aureus. Its description in RNAcentral is "partial 23S ribosomal RNA". It matches the Rfam family "Bacterial large subunit ribosomal RNA", at positions 336 to 2886 of the family's 2925-position model. Lineage: Bacteria; Bacillati; Bacillota; Bacilli; Caryophanales; Staphylococcaceae. The record is from RNAcentral.
AAUCAUCUGGAAAGAUGAAUCAAAGAAGGUAAUAAUCCUGUAGUCGAAAAUGUUGUCUCUCUUGAGUGGAUCCUGAGUACGACGGAGCACGUGAAAUUCCGUCGGAAUCUGGGAGGACCAUCUCCUAAGGCUAAAUACUCUCUAGUGACCGAUAGUGAACCAGUACCGUGAGGGAAAGGUGAAAAGCACCCCGGAAGGGGAGUGAAAUAGAACCUGAAACCGUGUGCUUACAAGUAGUCAGAGCCCGUUAAUGGGUGAUGGCGUGCCUUUUGUAGAAUGAACCGGCGAGUUACGAUUUGAUGCAAGGUUAAGCAGUAAAUGUGGAGCCGUAGCGAAAGCGAGUCUGAAUAGGGCGUUUAGUAUUUGGUCGUAGACCCGAAACCAGGUGAUCUACCCUUGGUCAGGUUGAAGUUCAGGUAACACUGAAUGGAGGACCGAACCGACUUACGUUGAAAAGUGAGCGGAUGAACUGAGGGUAGCGGAGAAAUUCCAAUCGAACCUGGAGAUAGCUGGUUCUCUCCGAAAUAGCUUUAGGGCUAGCCUCAAGUGAUGAUUAUUGGAGGUAGAGCACUGUUUGGACGAGGGGCCCCUCUCGGGUUACCGAAUUCAGACAAACUCCGAAUGCCAAUUAAUUUAACUUGGGAGUCAGAACAUGGGUGAUAAGGUCCGUGUUCGAAAGGGAAACAGCCCAGACCACCAGCUAAGGUCCCAAAAUAUAUGUUAAGUGGAAAAGGAUGUGGCGUUGCCCAGACAACUAGGAUGUUGGCUUAGAAGCAGCCAUCAUUUAAAGAGUGCGUAAUAGCUCACUAGUCGAGUGACACUGCGCCGAAAAUGUACCGGGGCUAAACAUAUUACCGAAGCUGUGGAUUGUCCUUUGGACAAUGGUAGGAGAGCGUUCUAAGGGCGUUGAAGCAUGAUCGUAAGGACAUGUGGAGCGCUUAGAAGUGAGAAUGCCGGUGUGAGUAGCGAAAGACGGGUGAGAAUCCCGUCCACCGAUUGACUAAGGUUUCCAGAGGAAGGCUCGUCCGCUCUGGGUUAGUCGGGUCCUAAGCUGAGGCCGACAGGCGUAGGCGAUGGAUAACAGGUUGAUAUUCCUGUACCACCUAUAAUCGUUUUAAUCGAUGGGGGGACGCAGUAGGAUAGGCGAAGCGUGCGAUUGGAUUGCACGUCUAAGCAGUAAGGCUGAGUAUUAGGCAAAUCCGGUACUCGUUAAGGCUGAGCUGUGAUGGGGAGAAGACAUUGUGUCUUCGAGUCGUUGAUUUCACACUGCCGAGAAAAGCCUCUAGAUAGAAAAUAGGUGCCCGUACCGCAAACCGACACAGGUAGUCAAGAUGAGAAUUCUAAGGUGAGCGAGCGAACUCUCGUUAAGGAACUCGGCAAAAUGACCCCGUAACUUCGGGAGAAGGGGUGCUCUUUAGGGUUAACGCCCAGAAGAGCCGCAGUGAAUAGGCCCAAGCGACUGUUUAUCAAAAACACAGGUCUCUGCUAAACCGUAAGGUGAUGUAUAGGGGCUGACGCCUGCCCGGUGCUGGAAGGUUAAGAGGAGUGGUUAGCUUCUGCGAAGCUACGAAUCGAAGCCCCAGUAAACGGCGGCCGUAACUAUAACGGUCCUAAGGUAGCGAAAUUCCUUGUCGGGUAAGUUCCGACCCGCACGAAAGGCGUAACGAUUUGGGCACUGUCUCAACGAGAGACUCGGUGAAAUCAUAGUACCUGUGAAGAUGCAGGUUACCCGCGACAGGACGGAAAGACCCCGUGGAGCUUUACUGUAGCCUGAUAUUGAAAUUCGGCACAGCUUGUACAGGAUAGGUAGGAGCCUUUGAAACGUGAGCGCUAGCUUACGUGGAGGCGCUGGUGGGAUACUACCCUAGCUGUGUUGGCUUUCUAACCCGCACCACUUAUCGUGGUGGGAGACAGUGUCAGGCGGGCAGUUUGACUGGGGCGGUCGCCUCCUAAAAGGUAACGGAGGCGCUCAAAGGUUCCCUCAGAAUGGUUGGAAAUCAUUCAUAGAGUGUAAAGGCAUAAGGGAGCUUGACUGCGAGACCUACAAGUCGAGCAGGGUCGAAAGACGGACUUAGUGAUCCGGUGGUUCCGCAUGGAAGGGCCAUCGCUCAACGGAUAAAAGCUACCCCGGGGAUAACAGGCUUAUCUCCCCCAAGAGUUCACAUCGACGGGGAGGUUUGGCACCUCGAUGUCGGCUCAUCGCAUCCUGGGGCUGUAGUCGGUCCCAAGGGUUGGGCUGUUCGCCCAUUAAAGCGGUACGCGAGCUGGGUUCAGAACGUCGUGAGACAGUUCGGUCCCUAUCCGUCGUGGGCGUAGGAAAUUUGAGAGGAGCUGUCCUUAGUACGAGAGGACCGGGAUGGACAUACCUCUGGUGUACCAGUUGUCGUGCCAACGGCAUAGCUGGGUAGCUAUGUGUGGACGGGAUAAGUGCUGAAAGCAUCUAAGCAUGAAGCCCCCCUCAAGAUGAGAUUUCCCAACUUCGGUUAUAAGAUCCCUCAAAGAUGAUGAGGUUAAUAGGUUCGAGGUGGAAGCAUGUGACAUGU